RNAcentral lists this long non-coding RNA (367 nucleotides) under Manacus vitellinus (golden-collared manakin). RNAcentral describes it as "lncRNA (ENSMVIG00005002257.1)". Lineage: Eukaryota; Metazoa; Chordata; Aves; Passeriformes; Pipridae. The record is from RNAcentral.
CCGGCGCCGUUUGGGGGAUUUGGGUUUCCCGCAGGCUCACGGGGCUUCGCCGCUGCGACCGUGACAAAGCGGAUUUGUACCUUCCAGCACCCGGCACCGCAUGAGUGCCCUUUUAAUAGCACACCGUUGUGUAUUCACACCCUGCCGCCCCACUCCGAAAUUCAAAACUUUGGCAACCCAAACUGCUGAGCGAGGAUCGUGGCUGUGCUGUACGAGGCUGUGUGCCACUGUCAGCAUAACUUGUUUCCAGGCUGCAUGGAGGCAGGGCUCACUGUGUUGUCUGACAAACUGGCUUCAUCCUGAAAGCUGGAGGUGAUCCAGGGAACCAUUUUGCAAGGAGCAUAACCUUGAAAGUGCAUGCCAAAAG